This 301-nucleotide ribosomal RNA is filed under the name uncultured bacterium. RNAcentral's name for it is "partial 16S ribosomal RNA". It matches the Rfam family "Bacterial small subunit ribosomal RNA", at positions 509 to 808 of the family's 1533-position model. The record is from RNAcentral.
CAGUAGCCACGGUAAUACGUAGGUCCCGAGCGUUGUCCGGAUUUAUUGGGCGUAAAGCGAGCGCAGGCGGUUAGAUAAGUCUGAAGUUAAAGGCUGUGGCUUAACCAUAGUACGCUUUGGAAACUGUUUAACUUGAGUGCAAGAGGGGAGAGUGGAAUUCCAUGUGUAGCGGUGAAAUGCGUAGAUAUAUGGAGGAACAUCAGUGGCGAAAGCGGCUCCCUGGCUUAUAACUGACGCUGAGGCUCGAAAGCGUGGGGAGCAAACAGGAUUAGAUACCCCUGUAGUCCCUGUCUCUUAUACA